RNAcentral lists this ribosomal RNA (253 nucleotides) under uncultured bacterium. Its description in RNAcentral is "partial 16S ribosomal RNA". It matches the Rfam family "Bacterial small subunit ribosomal RNA", at positions 524 to 776 of the family's 1533-position model. The record is from RNAcentral.
UACGUAGGGUGCAAGCGUUGUCCGGAAUUAUUGGGCGUAAAGGGCUCGUAGGCGGUCCGUCACGUCGGGAGUGAAAACUUGGGGCUUAACCCCAAGCCUGCUUUCGAUACGGGCAGACUAGAGGUAUGCAGGGGAGAACGGAAUUCCUGGUGUAGCGGUGAAAUGCGCAGAUAUCAGGAGGAACACCGGUGGCGAAGGCGGUUCUCUGGGCAUGAUCUGACGCUGAGGAGCGAAAGUGUGGGGAGCGAACAGG